RNAcentral lists this ribosomal RNA (387 nucleotides) under uncultured bacterium. RNAcentral's name for it is "bacterial SSU rRNA". It matches the Rfam family "Bacterial small subunit ribosomal RNA", at positions 32 to 399 of the family's 1533-position model. The record is from RNAcentral.
AAUCAACGCUGGCGGCGUGCCUCAGACAUGCAAGUCGAACGCGAAAGUCCCCUUCGGGGGACAAGUAGAGUGGCGCACGGGUGAGUAACACGUAGGUAAUCUACCUUCGGAUGGGGAAUAACAACCGGAAACGGUUGCUAAUACCGCAUAAUGCAGCGGCACCUAAUGGUGACAGUUGUUAAAGCGGGGGAUCGAAAGACCUCGCGUCUGAAGAGGAGCCUGCGGCGGAUUAGCAGUUGGUAAGGUAAUGGCUUACCAAGGCGACGAUCCGUAGCCGGCCUGAGAGGGCGGUCGGCCACACUGACACUGACAUACGGGUCAGACUCCUACGGGAGGCAGCAGUCGGGAAUUUUGGGCAAUGGGCGAAAGCCUGACCCAGCAACGCCG